CAUGGUGGAGAAGGGCCCUGAGGUCUCAGAGAAGUGGAGAGGGAGGAACAACACAGCUAUGUUGGCCACCUCCUCAGCUGCUGCUACCACCUUGGCCACCCAUGCCUUGCCCACAUCUUUGUCCACUGCCACCACCUACACCUCAGCUGCUGCUGCCUCAACUGCCACUGCUCCCAGUAAUAGCCAGAAUAAAAAUUUGGCAGGGGGGGAUCUCAAUGGCAAUGGCAGCAGAACCUCCUGGGAUGAAGGCAGAUCAUUUGGGCUUGUCCAGCCAUGGGGAGCACAGUGGUGGUGGCAUAAGGGGCAGACCCCAGUACCAGGUGGUGGUGACUGACUUCAACCCCACCAAACUGGCAAGAUGCAGCCAAGACUGGGACAGUCUUGGCAUGUUGGUGUGGUCACCAAAUCAGAAUGAGUCAGAAGCAAAGCUGGUUGAGUACAUUGCCAUUGCCAGAAAAAAUAUGGGUACACCAUGGAACAGGCUCUUGGGAUGCUCUU
RNAcentral lists this long non-coding RNA (498 nucleotides) under Homo sapiens (human). Its description in RNAcentral is "non-protein coding lnc-CREBZF-3:1". Lineage: Eukaryota; Metazoa; Chordata; Mammalia; Primates; Hominidae. The record is from RNAcentral.